GAAAUCAAUGAAAAGACGGGCUGCAGACGAGGGUCGCCGGCAGCAUAUCCAGCACCUUCAUGGGAAUGAAGAGAAGGCACCUGCUACAGAACAUGGGGGAAGAGAAGAAAAUCGAGAUUUAUUAGUGAAGGAAGAACGCAGUAAAACAAGAGGGAUACAGAGGCAAGGGUUUGAAAGGUAAUGAUUCAAUUUUUCCAAAUCAUGGGACAGUUUCUACAUCUUUUCCAUAAGUGUCCCCUAAUCUGGUGGUCUGGUAGUCUAGUGGUAAAGAUUUGCACUCUCACUGCCACAGCCCGAGUUCAUUGCUGGGUCAGGGAACCACAUCACCCGUCUGUCAGUUGUCAUACUGUGGCAGCUGCGUGUUGCUGUGAUGCUGAAAGCUAUGCCACCAGGAUUUCAAAUACGAGCAGGGUCACCCAUGGUGGACAGAUUUCGGCAGAGCUUCCAGACUAAGACAGACUAGGAAGAAGGACCUGGCCACCCAAUCGCAAAGACAUUGGCCAUGACAACCCUGUGAAUCACAGCAGAGCAGUCUCUGAUACAGUGGCCGGAAGGUGAGAGGAUGGCGCAGAACCCUGGCAGCGUUCCGCUGUGCUAUGCACAGGGUUGCAGGAAUCAACUUGAUGGCACUAACACAGUCUGGUAGUUACAACAUGGCAUGAAAGAGUCAGCCCAGCUCAGGUGCACCACAUCUGUGGAUGAGGGCACACACGGCCGUGUGUUUUUUCCUUCCAGAGGGGAUCCUGGGAGCUGCUUUAUGUGUAUUUUGAGUUGCCUGCAGUCCUGGGAUUGCCAUUGUGUCACCCAGGAAAGCCAUUUUCAAAUUUGUUUUCUUCUCUAUUUCUUCAUCAGGCAGGGGAUUGCUUCUGCUCACAAAGCCACCCGUAACCUCUGCUGCUGGAAAGUUCUCUCAGCGAUUGAGGGCCUCAUUUCCUUCAGAAACUGGUCCCCACCCUGCCCGUCCCCCAGAUCACACACGGUCUUCGCCUCUCCCAGCCUGAAGGAUGUCCUCUCCUGGUUAAUUUCCCAGCAGCCGGCCGAGGCACAGCCUCCCGCGUUUGGACACGAGCUCAGGGCUAUCCUUGCCCAUGCCACCGUCAGCCGGCAGCCAGCUAGGCCGUCUAGUGCACAGGGCAGUGGAAAUUCAGCUGAUGAGUGGAGGAGUUCCAGUAUAAAUUUCCCCUUUCUCGCCGCAAUUUUAUAGAACUUUGCAAAGCGGCACAUCAGCACUUUUGCAAGUUGGGCUUUCUUCUGAAAAGAAUCAAGCCUGUCAAAGCUCUAAAACUUUAUGCUGUUAUUUUUAAUGGUUUGAUCAAUUACCCAGCACAUUUUGUUCCUGUAACCCUAUCCUAUACCAUGAGAAGAGAGUUAGAACUCCAGGGUUUCAGAAAGUCUGCCACGUCAGCCAGAGUUUUAUGUAACCCACCUCCUGUUCAGGGAUCCGCUUUGUACAUUUUCUCCUGCGUUCUGGGAUAUUGACCUCUUUAUUUUAUCCUGACCUCUCAUACUGUUUUUCUUUUUAGUAUAUUGGAGUAUAUUUAAGUUCUGCC
Long non-coding RNA from Equus caballus (horse), 1550 nucleotides. Lineage: Eukaryota; Metazoa; Chordata; Mammalia; Perissodactyla; Equidae. The record is from Ensembl.